RNAcentral lists this unclassified non-coding RNA (242 nucleotides) under Helotiales sp. RNAcentral describes it as "partial contains small subunit ribosomal RNA, internal transcribed spacer 1, and 5.8S ribosomal RNA". The stretch from base 1 to 46 matches the Rfam family "Eukaryotic small subunit ribosomal RNA", at positions 1786 to 1831 of the family's 1831-position model. The record is from RNAcentral. Lineage: Eukaryota; Fungi; Ascomycota; Leotiomycetes; Helotiales.
AAGUCGUAACAAGGUCUCCGUAGGUGAACCUGCGGAGGGAUCAUUACAGAGUUCGUGCCCUUACGGGUAGAUCUCCCACCCUGUGUUAUUAUUACUUUGUUGCUUUGGCGGGCCGUCAGGCUCACGCUUGCCACCGGCUCCGGCUGGUGCGUGCCCGCCAGAGGACCCCAAACCCUGAUUAUUAGUGUCGUCUGAGUACUAUAUAAUAGUUAAAACUUUCAACAACGGAUCUCUUGGUUCUG